ACGGAGAGAUUCAUCGUCAUUCCACGGCGUACGUGUGCUUAUUAGAUGUGAUGUGAUUUCGGUCGUAUCUCACUGUAGGUUGCGCGUUCACGUCCGUGGACGGCGUGCACUUCUCUCUUAGUAAUGCAUCGCGACCCGUUCGAUGUCGGUCUAAGCGCCGUUCGGGAGCCCAAUCGUCCCUCUUUACGGGGGGGUGGCUGGACCGUGACGGUGGCCGACCGGCUGUCGGACGGUAUAACUUAUGAAUCGCGUACGCGUUUUUGACGCGUCCGGCCCGACGCAAGGUUGUUACGUUAUCGAGGUCCUGCCUAUGUGCGAAUUUCGGUACGUCACGCCUGUUGUCGCAGCCGUGCUGUCUCGGACUGUGCGCGUCUCUGUCUGCGAUGAUUCAGUUUCGGGCACUCGCAGGACCCGUCUUGAAACACGGACCAAGGAGUCUAGCAUGUGUGCGAGUCAUUGAGAUUUUUAAACUGAAAGGCACAACGAAAGUGAAGGCGCGCGCUCGUCGCGUGCUCAGGGAGGAUGGAGCGUCGGUCUAGGUCGACCUCUCGCACUCCCGAGGCGUCUCGUUUCCAAUCUGUGAAUGUAGGCGCGCUCUGAGCGCAGAUGCU
RNAcentral lists this ribosomal RNA (611 nucleotides) under Emphylica cruoralis. RNAcentral describes it as "partial 28S ribosomal RNA". It matches the Rfam family "Eukaryotic large subunit ribosomal RNA", at positions 490 to 810 of the family's 3401-position model. Lineage: Eukaryota; Metazoa; Arthropoda; Insecta; Lepidoptera; Crambidae. The record is from RNAcentral.